This 470-nucleotide long non-coding RNA is filed under the name Homo sapiens (human). RNAcentral's name for it is "HSALNT0394866". The record is from RNAcentral. Lineage: Eukaryota; Metazoa; Chordata; Mammalia; Primates; Hominidae.
UUUCAGGAAACAGAGCGACCUCAGGGCAAGGGACCACGAGAAAUGAAGACAUUCCCUAGGUAUCUGAGAGCUGGCAAUCAAAAGCUGAUGGAGGAUGCUUCAGUAUUUCAACUAUAUGCAAGAACUGAUCAAGACGCCAUAAAGUGCAACUUGGAGCAACUGCAGACCAUGAAAUCGAAUAUUUUCUACAAAUAACAAUAAAGAAAUGAAAUAUAGCAUGCGGAAGGGUGUAGGAACAUAAAACUGCAUGGACAAAGAAGAGAAUCCGUGGAUCACGCAGAAACAAUAUAAGAGACAAAAGUGGAACUUCUGCAGUCCCAGCUACUCAGAAGGCUGACGCAGGAGGAUCGCUUGAGCCCAGGAGUUUGAGCCUGCAGCGAGCUAUGUUCAUACCACUGCACCCCAGCCUGAGUGACAGAGUAAAACCCUGUCUCUAAAAAAGAAAAAAAAAAGUAGAACCCAUAGGAAGC